AUGUGGAGAACAGUGGGGUGCGUUUUGGGCACGAAUAGAUGCCCUAACAAUUUGUGGCAAUAUUUUGCUUGGUGUCACUGUUAUCUUCCUGAUGGGGAGAGGUUAUAUACCUUUGGCCUGGCUGCGUUAUGUUGGGCGAUAUGGAACUGUCGCAAUAAAAGAAUUUUUGAACUUAAGGAAUUGAAGUCUCCUUUUGAUGUGGUAUAUUCUACUUGUGGUUAUAUAUCUUAUUGGGCAGGGUUGCUGUCAGGUGAAGAUCGGGAGGCGAUGGAGCAUGGGUCUAAGAUGCUGAGGAUCAACGCCUCGAACAUGAUGAGGAUCUAUGCAGCACCGAGAGAUGUGACGCGGAGCGGGUGA
RNAcentral lists this ribosomal RNA (357 nucleotides) under Triticum aestivum (bread wheat). RNAcentral's name for it is "partial small subunit ribosomal RNA". The record is from RNAcentral. Lineage: Eukaryota; Viridiplantae; Streptophyta; Magnoliopsida; Poales; Poaceae.